GACGAACUGUCCAAACGUUGUUCGGAAUCACUGGGCUUAAAGGGCGCGUAGGCGGUCGACCAAGUCAGGGGUGAAAUCCUGCAGCUUAACUGUAGAAGUGCCUUUGAUACUGGUCGUCUGGAGGGAGAUAGGGGUGUGUGGAACUUCCAGUGGAGCGGUGAAAUGCGUUGAUAUUGGAAGGAACGCCGGAGGCGAAAGCGACGCACUGGAUCUCUUCUGACGCUGAGGCGCGAAAGCUAGGGGAGCAAACGGG
This 253-nucleotide ribosomal RNA is filed under the name uncultured bacterium. Its description in RNAcentral is "partial 16S ribosomal RNA". It matches the Rfam family "Bacterial small subunit ribosomal RNA", at positions 524 to 776 of the family's 1533-position model. The record is from RNAcentral.